AUACGGAGGAUGCGAGCGUUAUCCGGAUUUAUUGGGUUUAAAGGGUGCGUAGGCUGUGCGUUAAGUCAGGGGUGAAAUGCCGUCGCUCAACGACGGAGCUGCCCUUGAUACUGGCGUGCUGGAGUACGGAUGCCGUUGGAGGAAUGAGUGGUGUAGCGGUGAAAUGCUUAGAUAUCACUCAGAACACCGAUUGCGAAGGCAUCUGGCGAAUCCGUCACUGACGCUGAGGCACGAAAGCGUGGGGAUAGAACAGGAUUAGAUACCCGGGUAUUCCACGCCGUAAACGAUGAUGACUAACCGUCGGCGAUAGACAGCCGGUGGCCAAGCGAAAGCGAUAAGUCAUCCACCUGGGGAGUACGUCGGCAACGAUGAAACUCAAAGGAAUUGACGGGG
Molecule: ribosomal RNA, 393 nt
Filed under: uncultured bacterium
Lineage: Bacteria
Description: partial 16S ribosomal RNA
Rfam family: Bacterial small subunit ribosomal RNA
Source: RNAcentral